CUCUAGGUGUAGUGGGCGGGCGGUGUUGGGGCGAGCCGGUCCACAAGGAAGACAUAAUGAUGCGAGCAGCGCCCAACUCAUUGCAUGUUCUGCCUUUUGCAGGCCGGACGCAAAAUGGGGGGCACACGGCCCGAUCCGACCCGGCGACGGUCACCAAGAGUAGCUAGCCGCUGUGAUCAAAUGGCGACCGGGACACGAUCAGAUCAGAGGUGGACGGACUGCUGUGGCAUCGCUCUGAAGUAGCAGAGUUCUGAGGGAGGCCCGCUUCGCUGGAGGCGUCAACCUGCGCAGCUUCAACAUGUGAAAUGGAUUUUUUUUUUUAGUUAAUUCAUACCAGCGGUGUCCAAAUGUCUGUUUGAGGGCUGCAUACUGAAACAAAUUAAGAAUGCUUUGACGCAAAUUCAUUAAAUCAAUCACGCAAUGUU
Long non-coding RNA from Syngnathus acus (greater pipefish), 425 nucleotides. RefSeq lists it as uncharacterized. NCBI's taxonomy places the organism in Eukaryota, Metazoa, Chordata, Actinopteri, Syngnathiformes, Syngnathidae. The record is from RefSeq and is a predicted model, not a curated record. The transcript has 2 exons.